AUGCUCUGUCACCCUCACAGUGAAGAAGUUUUUUCUCAGGUUCAGAUGGAACUUCCUGUGGUUCUAAAUCAUCUGGAUUUAGAGCUGCCAAAAUGGUUUAGUAAAUAGUAUUUUAGAUAGCUAACAAUUUUUUCCUCUUAAUUUUUUUAAUAUAAGAAAUAUUUAGAUUUUGUUUAGAAAAACAGGACUAUUUUCUCAUAGUAUUACUUUACUAUACUUGUGUAAAUGUGUUAAUUUUAAAGUGUUGCACAGUGCUGUCAUUGAACAUAAAUCAAUUUUAGCUACUCGUUGACAAAUAAAAUAUUUAUACUAAGUAGUUUUUACUGAUUUCAGCUCUAGCUCUUGUGAAGAGUGGUCAAACAUUACUCUUUAAUAGGCAUUUUAACUGACUGAAGGUAGAAAAUAAUGUUUCAGAAAUGGAUUUAAAAAUGCAAUCAAGGUUCUUUGACAUCUGUUGCGUGUGACAUGAUGCAGCGUGGCAUGAUGCAGCAUGACAUGUUUAUCCUCUUUGGACAGCAGCAGAUGUUGGUUUUAGAAUUUUUGAUUCCUGGAAGAGCAAACUGCUACCAAGAGAAGUUUGUGAAUAUAUCACUUGCAGAACUUCAGCUACUCUGAGAUUUCAUGUAUAAGGUACCUCUUUUAAGAUAUAGAUCUCUGUCUUCAGUGUAGAGAAGCUAAAAUGCUUGUAGUAUGCUGUGAUUUUUAAAAGAAUGGAAGAAGAACUCAAAGUUGGUGACACUUACGAAUUGACAGGAAUUCAGAGAUUUCCUGUUUGUGACCUCUUUCAUGCAUAGGAGGAAAUAUAAUGCAGCGUGUACAUAAUGUGCCCAAUAUAGUGUGUGUGUGUAUAUAUAUAUAUAUAUGUGUGUGUGUGUGUGUGUGUGUAUAUAUUUUUGAACACUUUGUGGUACUGACAUCCUUAAUACAUGACAGGGUUUCAGGGUCUUCCCUGGGUGAGGAGGAGAAAGAAGCAUAGAGCAGGAAGUAAUUCAGAAUGGGUGCUAAUGUUAAUAAUCAAAUAUGUCCUGUGAGAUUUAAUAGUGUAGGAUUGGUCAACUCAGGUAUGCAGAGCUGGGAUGAAAAUGCUGUCAGGUUCUUAAAGAUUGUGAGCGGGCUUGCAGAAGGAAGGAGCAUUUCAAAACUUUGCUCCAGUUCAGCUGCUUUUCUCUAGUUUUCUUUAAUGGAAGGUGUUCACAACUGAAUUUACUAGAGUCUUAAACAAACAAAAACCUCUUUAAUGACUUCACAGCUCUGUUUCAUAGAAGUGGUGUAAACUGUUAAGGCAUAACUUAGUAGAAGUGUAACGAGCACCUGUGGGCAUAAAGACUUCAGCCAGAUUUAUUCUGAAAGAGCUAUUUGUAGCAGAGCUGAGUGCUUCGUGGGUCUGGGCCGAAGUGACUGCUGCUGCUUUGUUUGUUCUAAUGCAGUCAGAAUCGCAGGGAGGGGAUAAGGCUCACUAAGUUUUUUUGGCAGCAGUGCUUGCUUAAACAGUCACCAUGCUGAUCUGUGUGCUAUACUCACUAAAGUUUUUGUGUGGCAGAGUAACAAAAAGGAUAGAGACUGAUCCAGUCAAAAAAUCCCCCUUAUUUUUUUUCUUCUCUUUGUGGAUUAUUUACUGGAUUUAGUACGGCCAGAGUUGUGGCGCACUGGAACUCUUCCUUUUCUAUUGGUUUGUCUGAGUUCAUCCAUUAAUACUGUUAAAACACCAUUGUGUCUGCUUUUCAGCCCUCUUCUGAUGGUAGCUGUUUAUCUGGACAUGAUAUGAAAGCAGCACAAUGCAUGCAAGUUGGUAGAUCUGAAAAAUAUUUGUUAAGGCGACUGUAUGAUAUUGUAAUCUAUACGUUAAUAUAAACCAUAACCUCCUCUGACUUGUAAAAAUUGAGAAAUACCUUAGAAAUUUAAUUCAGGAAUGAGUCCCCACAUGGAAAACGCUGUCGGAUUUGUUACAGCUACAGAAGGUAUUCAGUCACCUGGGUGUGGUAGUGUUUGAUUUUAAAGGUGUAGUGAAUACUGUAAGAUCGCCACACCUUCUCUGUUAAAGAAAACAAAAUGCCCUUAGGAGUUUGUAGUAAAUAAAGGCUCUUACUGUGUAAACAGGAAACUUAUUUCUGAAUUGGUUUCAGAGCCUUUUUGUGGGAGGGAGCAGGGGAAGAGAAAAGAGGAAGUUCAAGGUAAUGCGAGUAACAGGUGGCUUCCUUGUAAGGUUUCCUUCCUGAUCCUUUCAGUGAGCCAAAGCAGUGGCGACAUGAGGUGGUAGUGGAGAAGAUCUUGGGCAUGCUGAAUGUGUAAUGCAUGUUUGCUGCUGUUACUGCAAAAACAAGUUAUAUUCAAAUUGGAGAACACUGAGGAGGAAGAGAAGGAGUAGCAGUGUGGAAAUGUAGUAUGGGAAUAAUUUUCUGAACUAAAGCUUGGUCCUUUACAGGUGAUACAAUUUUAAAAUAGCAGAAGCACUUGCAAUACAAUAUUUGAUGUUGUUUCUACUAACUGAUGUUAUAUAUAUAUAUGUGAUAUAUAAAUAAUAAAUUUGGUACCACUGUAAUUAUUUCUGUGUGUUUGCAUUGCAAUACCUGAAUAUACCCUAUUGGGGUUUAUGUGACCAGCAUGCUAUUGCCUCUUACAUUACGUUGUUGCUAACGUAACGACGGAUUGCGUUUUACGUUAGACAAAGUUGUUUUACUUGUGUCCUGAAGUUUUGUUACUGUUUUUAUGGCAAUGUUCAUCUCUUGACAUCUGUUUUUAUGAUUUGAGUAAACAAAAGUGAACUGUUUUGUUUUUUUACUUCUCAUGUAAGUAUUUCUGAGAAUGCACUAUAGAUGGUUUUUAUGCUAUGAUCUAGAUUAACGUCUAAUAACAAAAGUUGUAAGCAUCCCUCAUUUACACUUUUUUAGCCUUCUUUAGCUGCAUUUAGCUUGGUUUCUUUGAUAUCUUAAAUAUUCUUACACUUUUUUUUUUUUUAAGAGGAACUGAGAUUGACAAGACUGAAUUGUCAGCUAUGCUCUGUUAAGAGAACUUAACUCUAUUAGAAGGUUUUAUGUUUCUACUGCAGCCUGUACCUGCUAUAUUGGCUGAUAUUGUUGCCUUUAAUCAACUGUGCACUAAUAUUUAAAAUCAGAAAAUGAGUUACAACAUAUCCUUUUAAAUCAUGUAUUUUCUGCUCGCAAGGUUAAUAUAUUAUAUUUUGCAGUGAUGUAGUCUUUGAAGGGGGGAAAUUGUUACUUUAAGGAAAAAAUGGAAAAUUAAGAUAUUCUGUAUCUUGAAAAAUAGAACUUGAAAGGUAGCAAGAAUGAAGAGUUUGAUAUUCAGUUAAAAGUGUUUGAUGAAAACAAAGAAGAAGACCUAAUUGAGCUGUCACAUCGUCUCAGUGAUAUUGGAGCUGAAAUGGAUGAUAUUAAUGAAGUAUAUAAUCUGUUGUAUGAUAUGUUGAAAGAUGCAUCUUCUGAAAACUACUUCCUGCCAAUUCCUCCACGCUUCCUUCUCAUCAGGAAUGGUUAUUAUAUCCAGUAAGAAUCAGCUAUCAUGGUUGAUUUUUUUGGAGUGGGGAGAAGGGGAAGCAUAGUAUCUUUAACAAUAUGGAAGUACUACAUACAAAGGCUUGUUUUGAAAAAUAAUACUUUGUUAUAAAGGGAUGAUAACAAUGACUGAUGUAUGAGAUGAAUAAAUUAAGAGUUUAAUAAAACUUGAGAAUCUUCAAUGUUUUUGUAACAUUUUUUUUUUUUUUUUUAAUUUGAAAGUUUAGAAUAUCACUGGUUUGGCUUUCAGGGUUUUCUCCUCUGAGAGCUCUCUGCUAUGUGAAAUUGAGAUGUAGUACCUUGCAGUGAUAAGAGCUGAUAAUUGGGAGCACAGAAUCUUGUGAUCUUAGAGGUUCCUGAUGCUGUAGUACAGAGAUGUAUAUCAAGCAGUUAAAUUAAGCUAUUGAUGUACUCAUUCAGUGAGUAAUUAAAUACUAUAUUUCAUGGAGUUCUCAAUUUUUUCAAAUGUCCCUUUGAGAAACUGAUAAUGAUAUUUUAUUAGCCGAUGUACAAAUAAGGCUUUUAAUUGGAAUCUUUUACUGGCAAUUGUGUAAUUCAAAUAUCAGGAGGUAUAGCUGUCCUUUUUUCCCCCUCCUGCUUGCAUACAUUAUUAUUCAUGUUCUCAUUAUCUUGUAAAAUGUCAGACCUCGGUAUUACAAGAUAUCAGAAGAAUGCAUUUCACAGAGUAUCGC
This is a non-coding RNA of Struthio camelus australis, 4201 nucleotides long. NCBI's taxonomy places the organism in Eukaryota, Metazoa, Chordata, Aves, Struthioniformes, Struthionidae. The record is from RefSeq and is a predicted model, not a curated record.